AAAGUGAGGCGUCCUCUGUCACGAUUCA
This 28-nucleotide non-coding RNA is filed under the name Bombyx mori (domestic silkworm). Lineage: Eukaryota; Metazoa; Arthropoda; Insecta; Lepidoptera; Bombycidae. The record is from RNAcentral.